UACGUAGGGUGCGAGCGUUGUCCGGAAUUACUGGGCGUAAAGAGCUCGUAGGUGGUUUGUCGCGUCGUCUGUGAAAUUCCGGGGCUUAACCUCGGGCGUGCAGGCGAUACGGGCAAUACUUGAGUGCUGUAGGGGAGACUGGAAUUCCUGGUGUAGCGGUGGAAUGCGCAGAUAUCAGGAGGAACACCGAUGGCGAAGGCAGGUCCCUGGGCAGUAACUGACGCUGAGGAGCGAAAGCAUGGGUAGCGAACAGGAUUAGAUA
RNAcentral lists this ribosomal RNA (262 nucleotides) under uncultured prokaryote. RNAcentral describes it as "partial 16S ribosomal RNA". It matches the Rfam family "Bacterial small subunit ribosomal RNA", at positions 524 to 784 of the family's 1533-position model. The record is from RNAcentral.